This 166-nucleotide ribosomal RNA is filed under the name uncultured bacterium. RNAcentral's name for it is "partial 16S ribosomal RNA". It matches the Rfam family "Bacterial small subunit ribosomal RNA", at positions 1327 to 1500 of the family's 1533-position model. The record is from RNAcentral.
UGGAUUCGCUAGUAAUCGCGCAUCAGCCAUGGCGCGGUGAAUACGUUCCCGGGCCUUGUACACACCGCCCGUCAAGCCAUGGGAGCCGAGGGCGCUUGAAGUGCGUCGCCGCGAGGCGCGCCCUAGAGCGAAAUCGGUGACUGGGGCUAAGUCGUAACAAGGUAUC